This 91-nucleotide microRNA precursor is filed under the name Capitella teleta. Its description in RNAcentral is "microRNA cte-mir-2700 precursor". The record is from miRBase by way of RNAcentral. Lineage: Eukaryota; Metazoa; Annelida; Polychaeta; Capitellidae.
AUGCAGGGGUUCUGAUUUUGCAAAUUUCAGAUUCAUUGUCAAACUGCGACUCCCAAUGAAUCUUAAUUUUGCAGAUUUAGGACCCGUGGCU